AUUGAACGCUGGCGGCAUGCUUUACACAUGCAAGUCGAACGGUAACAGGCCUUCGGGUGCUGACGCUUGGCGAACUGGUUAGUAAUGCAUCGGAACUUUCCCUGAGGUGGGGGUUAACGCAGCUAAAGCUGUGCUAAUACCGCACUUUAUCUGAUUAUGAAAGUGGGGGUCCAAGCAUCAAUUUUUGGCCUCGCUCUUCUUGUGCCUCCGAUUUCAGAUUAGGUAGUUGGUGGGGUUAAGGCCUACCAAGACGACGAUAUGUAGCAGGUCUGAGAUGACGACCAGUCACACUGUGAGUGAGACACGGCGCAGACUCCGACGGGAGGCAGCAGUGGGGAAUUUUGGAAAAGGGGCGCAAGCCGGAUACAGCAAUGCGGAGUGCGGGAAGAAGGCAUUCGGGUUGUAAACCGAUUUUGUACGGAAAGAAAAGGCUCUGGCUAAUACAUGGGGCUGAUGAAGGUACCGUAAGAAUAAGCACCGGCUAAAUACGUG
Molecule: ribosomal RNA, 492 nt
Filed under: uncultured bacterium
Lineage: Bacteria
Description: partial 16S ribosomal RNA
Rfam family: Bacterial small subunit ribosomal RNA
Source: RNAcentral